Molecule: long non-coding RNA, 465 nt
Organism: Trifolium pratense (red clover)
Lineage: Eukaryota; Viridiplantae; Streptophyta; Magnoliopsida; Fabales; Fabaceae
Exons: 2
Source: RefSeq, a predicted model, not a curated record
AGUAACAAGAGGUUGCUUAAAACUAUAUAUAGUAGUGAUUAGAGGGACUAACAUGAGACAUAUAUAUAUAUAGAUAUAAUUUAAAAUAUAAUAAUAAUAAAACAAAAUUUUCUAAUGGCUUUAUUUUAUCUCCAUAAGUUCUCAUAAAAUUCAUUAUAAAUUGAUACAAAAACUUAAUGUUUGUUACUUAAAAUAAAAGAGAAAAACAUGACUGCAAAUGUCUUGUUUGUAUAUGUUAUGAUCAUAUUGAUUUCUCUAUUUUUUAUUUUGAGUGGUGUAAGUGCUGGAAAGGGUUAUCGUUGCAAAGAAGACGAAGAUUGUCCUAUUCCUUGGUGUAGGCCUUUGUUAUCCGUUUGUACUAAUCAUCAAUGUAUCUGCAUGGAAGUUUAAGAGUUAAGUUGAAAAUUAAUGUUAUGUUACUCCUAAGUUUAUAGUAAAUCUCAUGAUUACUUUCAUUUUGAUUUA